GAGAUAACCCUAUAGGGAAAGACUUGCUUCAGUGGGGCUUUGGUGCUCACAGAGUCUGCCCCUUGAGUGUGUCACU
Molecule: non-coding RNA, 76 nt
Organism: Myotis lucifugus (little brown bat)
Lineage: Eukaryota; Metazoa; Chordata; Mammalia; Chiroptera; Vespertilionidae
Source: Rfam